AACGAACGCUGGCGGCGUGGAUAAGACAUGCAAGUCGGACGAGACGAGAGCUUAGCUUGCUUUGCUUAAGUCUAGUGGCGAACGGGUGAGUAACACGUGAGCAACCUGCCCAGAAGCAGGGGAUAGCCCACCGAAAGGUGGAUUAAUACCGUAUGUGAUCCCGCAGGGCCUCCUGUGGUGAUUAAAGCCGGGGACCUUCGGGCCUGGCACUUCUGGAUGGGCUCGCGGCCUAUCAGCUUGUUGGUGAGGUAACGGCUCACCAAGGCGACGACGGGUAGCUGGUCUGAGAGGAUGAUCAGUCACACUGGAACUGAGACACGGUCCAGACACCUACGGGUGGCAGCAGUCGAGAAUCAUUCGCAAUGGGCGCAAGCCUGACGGUGCGACGCCGCGUGGAGGAUGACAGCUCUAGGGUUGUAAACUCCUGUCAUGAGAGAGUAAAGGCUUGCCGUUAAUAGCGGUCGGGUCCUGAUAGUAUCUCAAGAGGAAGGGACGGCUAACUUCGUGCCAGCCGCCGCCGUAACAC
This 526-nucleotide ribosomal RNA is filed under the name uncultured bacterium. RNAcentral describes it as "bacterial SSU rRNA". It matches the Rfam family "Bacterial small subunit ribosomal RNA", at positions 29 to 526 of the family's 1533-position model. The record is from RNAcentral.